Molecule: transfer RNA, 57 nt
Filed under: Cassida denticollis
Lineage: Eukaryota; Metazoa; Arthropoda; Insecta; Coleoptera; Chrysomelidae
Description: tRNA-Ser
Source: RNAcentral
UAAGUUCUAAUAAUAGGGUAUCUAAUCCUAGUUUAUUAAUUAAUUUAGUGACCUCAA